This 241-nucleotide long non-coding RNA is filed under the name Gossypium barbadense (sea-island cotton). Its description in RNAcentral is "long non-coding RNA (GBAR_LNC001584)". Lineage: Eukaryota; Viridiplantae; Streptophyta; Magnoliopsida; Malvales; Malvaceae. The record is from RNAcentral.
UUCGGCAUAAUUAUGAGGUUAGUUGGGUAAAAAGAGUUUAUCUAAAUGAUACGAAUUCGUGUUUAAGGAAAAAUUUAAGAUGACAUGUAUGAACAAUAGGGGUAUAUUUAAUCAUGACUACAUUUAGUCAGAAAGAUGAUGAGCCUUAUGAAUGCUAUGCUUUAGUUAUAAAUGAUUUCAUUACUUAAGACUUACUAAGCAUCGAAAUGCUUACUCUUUUUGCCUUCAUUCCCUGUUUUAU